AACGAACGCUGGCGGCAUGCCUAACACAUGCAAGUCGAACGAGACCUUCGGGUCUAGUGGCGCACGGGUGCGUAACGCGUGGGAACCUGCCUUUAGGUUCGGAAUAACUCAGAGAAAUUUGAGCUAAUACCGGAUGAUGUCUUCGGACCAAAGAUUUAUCGCCUUUAGAUGGGCCCGCGUUGGAUUAGCUAGUUGGUGGGGUAAAGGCCUACCAAGGCGACGAUCCAUAGCUGGUCUGAGAGGAUGAUCAGCCACACUGGGACUGAGACACGGCCCAGACUCCUACGGGAGGCAGCAGUGGGGAAUAUUGGACAAUGGGCGAAAGCCUGAUCCAGCAAUGCCGCGAGAGUGAUGAAGGCCUUAGGGUUGUAAAGCUCUUUUACCCGAGAUGAUAAUGACAGUAUCGGGAGAAUAAGCUCCGGCUAACUCCGUG
RNAcentral lists this ribosomal RNA (433 nucleotides) under uncultured bacterium. Its description in RNAcentral is "partial 16S ribosomal RNA". It matches the Rfam family "Bacterial small subunit ribosomal RNA", at positions 29 to 507 of the family's 1533-position model. The record is from RNAcentral.